RNAcentral lists this ribosomal RNA (208 nucleotides) under uncultured bacterium. RNAcentral's name for it is "partial 16S ribosomal RNA". It matches the Rfam family "Bacterial small subunit ribosomal RNA", at positions 568 to 774 of the family's 1533-position model. The record is from RNAcentral.
CGCGUAGGCGGCCACCGCAAGUCGACUGUGAAAUCUCCGGGCUUAACCCGGAAAGGUCAGCCGAUACUGCGGGGCUAGAGUGCAGAAGGGGCAACUGGAAUUCUCGGUGUAGCGGUGAAAUGCGUAGAUAUCGAGAGGAACACCUGCGGCGAAGGCGGGUUGCUGGGCUGACACUGACGCUGAGGCGCGAAAGCUAGGGGAGCGAACG